RNAcentral lists this long non-coding RNA (16620 nucleotides) under Nicotiana tabacum (common tobacco). RNAcentral's name for it is "long non-coding RNA (NTAB_LNC003141)". Lineage: Eukaryota; Viridiplantae; Streptophyta; Magnoliopsida; Solanales; Solanaceae. The record is from RNAcentral.
CUAAAAAUGACAGUAUAUUGCUUUGUGCUGCGUAUUACAAUGUGUGUUACAAAUGAUAGAUCCCCCUUUAUAUAGUAGGGGUGUCCUACUCUUGAUACAAUUCUAUACAAGGUAAAAAAUCUCAUGAUUUGCUAAUUAACCGGCCUCUCCUUGAUACGUGCCACGAUUUUUGCGGUGAUCUUCAACUGAUCUCGGAUAUUUUGGUCUUCUGUUAUUCGGCUCGGCAGAUUUCCCUCGAUCUCGUGUGGUCUCAAUCUUGUUCAGUCCCGGGAUCACGAGCUCAACGAUGUCGUCGCACCCCUUUUCCCCCCUCUUAUGCAUCGGGAGAUCGGGUUUAUGACAUUUUAGGACAACUCAUUCCUUUUGGGAACUGGGUACAUUUGAAGAGUCGUCACCUAAUGAUUUAAGGUGCAUUAGGACACCUAUAAGGGUUCAUUUCUAAGUUCGUUUGAUAACCNNNNNNNNNNNNNNNNNNNNNNNNNNNNNNNNNNNNNNNNNNNNNNNNNNNNNNNNNNNNNNNNNNNNNNNNNNNNNNNNNNNNNNNNNNNNNNNNNNNNNNNNNNNNNNNNNNNNNNNNNNNNNNNNNNNNNNNNNNNNNNNNNNNNNNNNNNNNNNNNNNNNNNNNNNNNNNNNNNNNNNNNNNNNNNNNNNNNNNNNNNNNNNNNNNNNNNNNNNNNNNNNNNNNNNNNNNNNNNNNNNNNNNNNNNNNNNNNNNNNNNNNNNNNNNNNNNNNNNNNNNNNNNNNNNNNNNNNNNNNNNNNNNNNNNNNNNNNNNNNNNNNNNNNNNNNNNNNNNNNNNNNNNNNNNNNNNNNNNNNNNNNNNNNNNNNNNNNNNNNNNNNNNNNNNNNNNNNNNNNNNNNNNNNNNNNNNNNNNNNNNNNNNAUAUAAUAUGGAUCACAUCAAUGCGAUACCUGGUAUGACAUUACAUGUCCCAUUCCUAUCAGUCCCGGAGAAACUUAGGACUACUAUUCCUAAAGGGGGGGAUAUUAGGCUGACUUUUCGGUUUCAAAAGGUGAAAAAACUAAGGCGACAUACAAAAACACACAGGACUGCAUAUUAGGGGAAACAUGUAAACAACCAAAAGGCUCAUGUAUGCCUCCUCAAAUAAAACACAUAAAUAGCAUGACUUAAACACAGUUAAGGUCUGAAUUUAAAAUACUAAGGCAAGGAGAAUUUUAAUCGUUGAGGCAGACCAGUUUAUUACAUAACUCAGAUAAGAAGUCCGAAUCAGGUAUGUCUGCUGGUUGUAGCAGUAACUGUCUAACAAAAGCGGGUUCUUUGUUAUCGCCUAAGGCUUGCCUAAGGGUUUGGGCGAGAUCCUAUGAACAUGGUAUCUACUACUGAUCCAGAACGUGGCAAAGCAAUAAUAGUUUUAAACGAACGAUUUGGAUCCUAUAGGCAUUCUUUCUAACUGCGUUAAAGUAAAGAGUAAGGUUGUUUAAAACUGAUUUAGGGUCAAACUGAUUUUAAAUUGGUUUCAGAUCAUAUAGGCAGGAUAUCUAGUAUUGCUCAUUUUAAUUCCUAUAGACAUGAUAUCUAGCUUGAUUGAAAAAAAUGAAACAGACAGAAUUUACUUCCUAUAGGUAUGAUUUCUACAAAAAGGGGAUUGAUUCUUAACCUUAUGGACAUAAUGUCUGAUUUUAGCCGUUUAGAUCCUAAGAACAAGGUGUCUAAGCAUGGCCAUAACAUGCAGAAUUUUGAAACGAGUCCUAUGGGCAUGUUAUCUAAAUGCUGAAUUAGACGUGCAGAAUUUAACAAAUCCUAUAGACAGGUUCUCUAAAUGCAGAGUUAAACAUGCAGAAAACAAGUCCUAUAGGCAUGGCAUCUAAGAGUGGUAAUAAAUAUGCAGAAAUUUAAACAAGUCUUAUAAGCAUGUCUUCUACCCUUCUACAGCUAAACAUGCAUAAUUACCCAUCCCUUUUCACUAGCCAACCCCAAUGUUUAUUACAACUUAUUACAGGCCAAAUAAUGGAUUGCGUUAGAAAAAGUGUAAAGAAGAAGUUACAACCAGAGGAAGCCUGAUUCUUGACUUCCUCUCUGAGUUAUGGAAUAAACCACCUCAAAUGCCAUUGUUUCAAAGCCUUUCUUAGACUUGAGUGUGUCAAAGUUCCCUAAGGGUCUCAAGAGGACCCCGGGCAGUGCUCACACCCAAGUUUGCAUAACCAGAUAGAGAUGAGUGCAGUGUGGAAGAGCCAGCCUUUAUGUGUCCAAGUUUAGAGGGAGCUCAUGGGUCCCAAGGCAAGGCUCACAUAAGGGGGCAGACCUAAGUCUAAGAGUAUAGUGGAAGUGCAGAAGCAGAUAUUUGUUUAAAACUGGGUUGAGAAUAGCAAAGGGGUAAGGGUAGUUUGGAAAACAGUAGUAGUAUAACUAAAAUUAUACAGCUUCAGUAAUUGCUCAAAAGGGGCAGGGGUUUGGGAAUACAUUGCAGGUAGCAUAUGACCCUAGGAGGGGUCAAAUCUGGACAUGCACAACAAUAAGUGAUGCUGGCAUGCCCAUAAAUCAGCCAGAGGACACAACACAUAGAGAGGAUACGAAGCAUAUGAUCCAGGGAGGGUCAGGUUUGGGUCAUGCACAACAAUGUCUAAUGCUGGCAUGCCCUCAAACCAACCAAGGAAUACAAACACAUAGGGGAUAUGGGGGUUUGGGAUUCAUAAGUCAUCAUAGGUGACUGACAGAGUUCAAACAUUAGAAAAAUGUUAAUUCAGAAGAGGAAGGGGCAGAUCACAGCAUGCUUAAUAAUGGAACUCGAUUAAACACAAGCAGGAAACAGGCAAGAGUGCAAGAAAUAGUAAAGAAACAUGUUGUUGUUGAUGCUGAAGAUUAAUUAGAACAUACUAGUAAAGAAGCAAAUGCAGAAAGAAAGUAAGCAAAUUUCCCAUAGCCUAGCCUUGGCUUUCAGCCGGCGAGGUAAGACAGCAACACAAGUAGUAACAGAGAAAAAAGAGAGAGUUUUGAGUGAAGUGUAUGUUCUGAACUCAAGUGUUCGUGUCUUUUUUUUUGAAGAGGGGUGCAGGAUAUUUAUAGUUUUUGAAAACGAGUGAAGGAAAAGUAAUAAGAUACAAACAUGAAAACAAUCAUAGGUCAGAAUCAAUUACAGAAGUGAUUCCCUUUAAUUAAGGAAUCACUGUUUAACGGUAGUGACAGAUUCAAAAUAAAGAAAGAAAAUCAGUUUGUAAGCAGACUGAUUGUUGCCAUAAAAGGAGUAGUAAAACUAUUAAGUAAGCAAUCAAGUCUUAGUACAAAGAUAUGCUUAUUUUGGGAAAGAAAUUAGCAAGGUAAAUAUUACAGUAAAGGAAAAGAAUCAAUCAGCUUUGAACAGGCGAGUGAAAUUAGGGUUCAUAAAGGAAAAGCUUUAGAAAUCAAUCAUAAGAUGAAGAUCAAUCAAGGAAGAAACUCCAGCAUAUAAAUAGAGUGAACAAGACAUCAGACAUGCGAGGCCAAACCUAUUGGCAAAAGAAAUAGCAUUAGUAGCAGGAAUAAGCAUACAGUUCAGUAGAUAGUCAGGGCUCACACAUAUAGCCAAAGCAAAGAAGAGAGCCAAAAGCGAGUAAAGGUCUCACAGUAACAAGUGAGGAAACCUCUUGAAAAAGUUAGGGUUUCAACAACAAUUGAGUUUAAAGGAUAAUAAAACUCAUAAUCAAAUAACCUCACAAAGAAAAGAGCCAGAAACAAAGAACUUUAAUCGCAUCACAUGCAUGCUCAAACAAACAGUUCCAGGCCAAGAAGACCUAGGGUUUUCAGCAAUAAUCGAGUUUAAAAGAUGGUAAAUAGACAAGUCAAGAAAGAGUUUAAACAAACAACCACACAUCUAACAAACAUCUUCAGGACUCGAUUGAGACCCAAAAGAAAUUAGGGUUUUCAACAUGCUAACUCAGAUAGAAGCACAACACGAGCAAAACAUAGCAAAAUCACAAAUAUGUUAAAAAUUAGAGAAGAGAAACUUCGAAAAAAUGAAGAGUCGUUUUGAAAGCAAAGUUAAAGAAACUUCGAGAAAAUGUUUAAAAGUUCAAGGUAAUCACAGAUCUAAAGCAGAUCGGAAAGAAAGUUAAAAUAUCUUAAAGAUUAGGGUUUCGAAAAACCCAGAAAAGGUGAGAAAGGCACUGAAAGUUAUCGAUCUAACCAGGAGAGUCAAGGUUCUGACUCGAACGACCAUGGUUGGCCGGAGAAAAGGUCAAGGAUGACCGGAGAAGAGCCAUGAACUGAAAUCGAAUAAGGACUGGACCAGGCUUCUUCAAAGUCUGUCUGUGAAACCAUAAGAACAAACACAUAGAAGCCAUGGAAGGCUGGUACAUGUCUCAAAUGACCAUGGAAGGCCAUGGAUUAGGUAGAUAUCAGGGUGGGAUGAGAGGGCGACGACUAGGGUUCAUGAGAGUUUCAGAGAGAGUUGAGAGAGAAGGGGAUUCAAGGAUGGCGGUAGGUGAGAAAUGAAUUAGGUUUAGGGGUUGGUUUGGGUUAAAAAUGAUAAGGGGUAAUGGGAGUCGUUAAUCUAAACGAUCAACGGCUGGGAUCAAAGUGGUUAGGUGGGAAACCCGGGUUGGAUCAUUUAAACGGGUAAAGGGUCGGUUUAAUUAUAAAUUGGGUCGGGGUAAAUUGGGUUCAAAUUAGGCUGAAAUUGAAAUGAAAUCUGGCUAAAUUUUAAAUAACCAUUUUUCCCAUUUAUUUUAUAAAAAUAGCAAAUUAAAUUCUGGAAUUAAAUUGAAAGUACUAGAAUGUUUUAUAACAUAUAAUUAUCAAUUUAAAAAUACUGGACUUAAUUUUUAAAAAUGUCAACGCAAUUAAAUCUUAAAAGAGGCUAAUAUUGUAAUUAUAUGCAAUUUGGCUUUAAAAAUGCUAAAUAAAUUUGUAAAAAUAUGCAAAAAUUAUAUUAGCUAUAUUUUGGCAUAAAUAUGAGAACCCAAUAAAUGAAUCAUCAAAAUGCUAAUUUUGGGAAUUGUUAUUGGAUUUUUUUUGAAUAAAAAUAGGGAAAUAAAUUGAUUUAAAAAUCUUUAAAAAUUAAGGAAAAAUAAUAAAACAUUUGGACAUACUUAUAUAUGUGUACAUAUGAUAUUUUAAAAGUAUUUUGCNNNNNNNNNNNNNNNNNNNNNNNNNGUGCCCUGGCUUCUGAGCUACCUACGUAUCCCUGGUCUUACAAGAAUCAGGCCAUAUGAAUUUCCGGAUCCGUCGGCGGUGUAUGCCGAUGGAGACUCUUCAAGAAUGGAUGCAAUAUCCCGGACGGGGUGAGUGGACGGCUUGUGGGAACGGUUAAGGUUUGGUAUGGCUGCGGGAACUAGAGCGGGCUUGCUCCUACCGGGAUGGCCGUUGCUCUCCGGUGUACCUGCAAUUAGAAACAAUACAAGCAUAUAUUGUGCAUGAAUUUAAACGUGAUGCAAGUUACCGUCGAACCAUGAAUGUUGUCUUAAAAUGGUUAGGAUGACGUCCUUAGACCAUGAUGUCCUGGCCAUGAAGUGUGCAACAAAAGAUUCGCAGGCCAUGAAAUGAUGCUCUCGGGCUAUGAGGAUGGUGCCUCCGAACCAUGAUGCCUUUGAAUAAUGAUUCGCAAAAAAAAAAUUAGAAGGGAUCCUCAGGCCAUGACAUGGUGUUCUCGGGAUAUGAAAAUGGUGCCUCCGAACGAUGACGCCUUUGGAUAAUUUGGCAAUCUUUCAGCCUAUGAAAUGCAGUAUGUGGCGAUCUUUCAGCCCAUGAGAUGCAGUAUGUGGCAAUAUUUCAUCCAUACAAUGCAGUAGGAGGCGAUCUUUCAGCCCAUGAGAUGCAGUAUGUGGUGAUCUUUCAGCCAUGCAGUGCAGUAGGAGGCAAUCUUUCAGCCCAUGAGAUGUAGUAUGUGGCGGUCUUUCAGCUAUGCAGAUGCAGUAUGUGGCGACCUUUCAGCCAUGCAAUGCAGUAUGUGGCGAUCUUUCAUCCAUAAAGAUGCAGUUGGAGGUAGAGCUUAACCUCGGAAGGCAGAAUGGUAGCCUUAUGCAAUGCAGAAAUGCAGAUGGAGACAUCGUUUAGUCUCGGAAGGCAGAAUAGUAGCUUAUGCAGUGCAGAAAUGCAGAUGGAGACAACGUUUAGUCUCGGAAGGCAGGAUGAUAGCCUUAUGCAAGAAAUAAAAUGGCAAAUGGUAAUAGAGCUCUCUUAGCUGAUAGCAGAUUGUGAUAUUAUGACUGCUGAUGACCUUGUCACAUACAGAAUGUCACUGGUAUGUGUGUGGAUAGCAGAUGUGGGUAAGUGCAACGGUUUUGAGAGUUGUAUUCCUGAACAAUGUUUGUCUCAUGAGUGUAUAGUAUGUUUGAUGAUUUCGCAAUUCAAAUGCCUGCAUCCAAAGAAAAAUAGUGAGUUUUAUAAAGGGGGAAGGUUAGUUUGUAUCCCGCUGGCCCUGUUUGAUUUGCUCGGCUUUGAUCUGGUGAUACUGUAUGUAUCAUUGGGGUAGCAUUGCUAAACAAAUCAAUUUCAGUAAUAUGCAUGAUUUUGUAAAAAUAUGACAUAAUAAUAAUAAUUUUUUUAUAGAUGAAUCGAUGACUGUGACGCGGCUCAUGACAUUGCAACCUCUCUUGCUACGGAAUUUUGAGGGUCCUCCUCAAAAUUCUGCCCUAGUUUAAUAGGUUGAUGCUUCUGGCCGUUACUUGCGACGAUUGGCUGAAAUUACUCCGGCAUUUUGAGGGUCCUCCUCAAAAUUCUGCCCCAGUUUCCAAUAGCGGGGGAAAUGAGAAUUUUAUUGAAUUGUGACCGACCCCAUAGGGAUGUCUACGUAUCCCCUCUUAAACGGGAAUCAGGUCAGGCGUAGUUCAAAUUACAUCAUAUAAGGGAAGUAUAAAGAUUACACAUAGUAGCGCUUGACUGCAUCUGAGUUGAUUGGUUUUGGCCAGACUUAUCCGUCCAUUUAUGCAAGUAUGAGGGCUCCUCCUGUCAAAACCUGGUGAACCAUGUAUGGACCCUGCCAGUUAGGAGAGAACUUCCCCUUGGCUUCAUCUUGAUGCGGAAAAUUUUUCUUUAACACCAGCUAUCCCGGUGUGAACUGUCUCGACUUGACUCUUUUGUUGAAGGCUCUGGACAUUCUGUUCUGAUAAAGUUGACCACGACAAACCACAUUCAUUCUCUUUCUGUCUAUAAGGGCUAGUUGCUCACAACGACUUUUUACCCAUUUUGCGUCGUCGAGCUCAGCUUCUUGUAUGAUCCUUAGGGAAGAAAUUUUUACCUCAGUGGGAAUGACUGCCUCUGUACCAUAAACCAGCAUAUAGGGGGUUGCCCCAAUUAAUGUACGGACUGUGGUGCGAUACCUCAAUAAAGCAAAUGAUAACUUUUUGUGCCACUGUUUAUGCUUCUCUACCAUUUUCCUCAAUAUAUUCUUGAUAUUCUUGUUGGCGGCCUCUACAGCUCCAUUCAUUUGCGGCCUAUAGGCUGUGGAAUUCUUGUGUUUGAUCCUGAAGGUUUCACACAUAGCUUCCAUCAAGUCACUGUUGAGGUUGGAGCCAUUAUCAGUAAUGAUCGACUUUGGAACCCUGAAUCGAAAAACAAUGCGGUCGCGAACAAAGUUUGCCACGACUUUCUUAGUUACUGCUCUGUAAGAUGCUGCUUCGACCCAUUUGGUGAAAUAGUCGAUUGCUACUAAGAUAAACCUGUGCCCGUUGGAUGCAGCAGGCUCAAUUGGUCCAAUAACAUCCAUUCCCCAGGCGGCAAACGACCAUGGUGAGCUCGUUGCAUUAAGCUCAUUUGGAGGCACCUUUAUCAUGUCUGCAUGUAUUUGACUGCGGUGGCAUUUUCGGACAUACUGGAUCCCGUCCGAUUCUAUAGUCAUCCAAAAGUAACUAGCCCAUAUUAUCUUCUUGGUUAAGACAAAACCGUUCAUAUGUGGACCGCAGGUCCCAGCAUGAACUCCCUCUAGUAGCCUAGAUGCUUCCUUUGUGUCGACACACCUUAAUAAUCCUAGAUCAGGAGUCCUCCUAUACAAGAUUCCUCCACUGUGAAAAAUAUUAUUGUACAACCUCUAAAGCGUGCGUUUCUGAGUAGGGUUUGCAAACUCUAGGUACUCUCUUUUUUCCAAAUAUUCCUUGAUGUCAUAAAAUAAGGCUUUUCGUUUGCUUCUUCUUCAACAUGGGCACAAUAAGCUGGCAGAUCAUGGAUCUUUACUAGAAUGGGAUCAAUGUAAUUCUUGUCUGGAUGUUGUAUCAUAGACGACAUGGUAGCCAAUGCGUCGGCGAACUCAUUCUGGAUUCUGGGAACAUGCUGGAAUUCUGUCUUUGCGAACCUCUUUCUCAAUUCCUGUACAUGAUGCAGAUAUAGGAGUAUCUUGGAGUUCUUGGUUUCCCAUUUUUCUCAAUAGCCAUUUUAAGCCCUAAGAUGCAAACUUCAUAUUCAGCCAUGUUGUUGGUGGAUGGGAACCUGAGUUUGGCACACACCGGAUAAUGCUGACCGGUUUCUGAUACUAGGACUGCUCCUAUGCCAACUCCUUUGAAGUUUGCUGCUCCAUCGAAAUACAUUCUCCAACCAUCAUAGGAUUCUGCAAUGUCUUCUCCUAUGAAGGAUACCUCUUUGUUAGGAAAAUACGUUUUCAAGGGUUCAUAUCCUCCAUCCACGCGAUUCUCGGCAAGGUGAUCUGCUAGUGCCUAUCCCUUGAUUUCCUUAUGAGUCACGUAGACAAUGUCAAAUUCACUCAACAGGAUUUGCCAAUUGGCAAGAUUGCCAGUAGGCAUGGGCUUCUGGAAGAUGUAUUUCAAAGGAUCCAUCCUUGAUAUGAGAUAUGUGGUAUAGGCACAGAAAUAAUGUCUCAGCUUUUGGGCUACCCAAGUCAAAGCACAACAUGUGCGCUCUAACAGAGAAUAUCGGGCCUAGUAUGGGGUAAACUUCUUGCUGAGGUAAUAAAUGGCCUGCUCCUUCCUCCCCGUUUCAUUAUGCUUCCCCAGAACGCAACCAAAAGAUCCAUCCAAUACUACAAGGUAGAGUAAUAAGGGUCUACCUGACUCGGGGGGGACCAAGACUGGUGGUGUUGACAGGUAGUCCUUGAUUUUGUCGAAGGCCUUUUGGCAGUCAUCGAUCCAUUUGGUAGUAGCGUCCUUCUUCAACAUUUUAAAGAUUGACUCACAGAUAACUAUAGACUGUGCUAUAAACCGGCUGAUGUAGUUCAGUCUUCCCAAGAAACUCAUUACAUCCUUCUUGUUCUUUGGCGGUGGCAAUUUUUGAAUAGGUUUGACUUUUGAUGGAUCUAGUUCUAUUCCUCGGCGACUCACAAUAAAUCCAAGCAACUUUCCAGCAGGAACCCCAAAUGCGCACUUCGCGGGAUUUAGUUUCAGAUUGUACCUCCGCAGUCUAUUGAAGAACUUCCUUAAAUAUUCCAUGUGAUUAGUGGCCUUCUUGGACUUGAUGAUGACAUCAUCUACAUAUACCUCAAUCUCCUUGUGUAUCAUAUCAUGGAAAAUGGUAGUCAUGGCCCUCAUGUAGGUAGCCCCUGCAUUCUUCAGGCCGAACGACAUCAUUUUGUAAUAGUACAUUCCUCACGGCGUAAUGAAAUCAGUUUUCUCAAUAUCUUCUUAAUCCAUCUAGAUAUGAUGAUAACCAACGAAACAAUCUACAAAUGACUAUAGCUCAUGCUUGGCGCAAUUUUCAAUCAGGAUGUGUAUGUUUGGCAAAGGGAAGUCGUCUUUUCGACUGGCCCGAUUGAGAUCCCGGUAGUCGACACAGACUCGAACCUUCCCAUCUUUCUUUGGUACCGGUACGAUGUUGGCUAACCAUUUCAGGUAUUCUACUACCCUGAGAACCUUAGUUUUGAACUGCUUAGUGACUUCUUCCUUGAUUUUCAAACUCAUAUCAGGCUUGAACUUUCUAAGCUUUUGCUUUACCGGCGGACAUGUCGGAUCGGUUGGCAGUUUGUGAGCCACAAUAGACGUACUUAGACCAGUCAUGUCAUUAUACGACCAGGCGAAUAUGUCUUCAUACUGCUUCAGGAAUUCUGUGUAUUCUUUCUUUUCUGAUGGUGAUAGGUAAACGCCGAUUCGUGUUUCCUUGACGUUCUCUGCAUCUCCCAGGUUGACAAUUUUGGUCUCGUCCAGGUUGGAUUUAGGUCUGUUCUCAAAGUUCUCAACUUCUUUGACAAUCCCCUCUGGUAUGUCAUCUUCUUCUGAAUCAUUGUCCGUUUGUUGCGUUGUCUUAUUGCAUGUCACAGUCAUUGGUUCAUCAAGAUAGUAAUGUUGUAUAAGUAAAGUAAUGAGAGAAAAAUAAUAAUGAGUGUUGAUUCAUAAGAAAAGUCAAAAUACUUUGAUAAAUUGCAUAAUCGUUUUGAUCAUUAGAGAUCUUAUUGCAGGAAUUAAAAUGCGAAAGGAAAAUCAUUUAGUAAAUAAAAAUAGUGCAUGAUGCUUGUUUUAGCCUUGCUACCUCGAGGCUCGUCGGGCUCUGGUUGUCCUGAUGGUCCAGUUAUUGAGGCGUGCCCCUCUGCUUACGGCCUGUAUGGAAGGGCCUUCCUCCCCUUUCUCCUCGAGAACAACAUAGUAGUCCAUAUCAUUGUUUUCUAGGAACAAGUUCUUCAUCGAUGCCAGUGCUUCUUCUUCGUUUGACCUAUAAAUAAUAUCGGCUGGUUGGAAGGUGUGCUCCAGAUGUGAUAUUGGCUGCUCCAGUGGAUAGUAAGGACCGCGCCAUGGUAGUGACCAGUUAUUGAAUUCUUCCCAGGUGUACUCAUAUCCCAGAACAAAAGUAGUGCCAUGUUUCUUGAGCUUUAUGGGCUUAGCGAUUCCUUGGAGGUUCUUUCCGAGCCCCUUGCCAGGUUCGUGCCCACUCCAAUUUAGAAUAUUCUCGAUCUUGUUAUCCCACCAUUUGUCUUUGUCAACAACGUUUACCUGUUCAAUGUGAUAGUAAGUCUCUCCACCUAGCUUCCUUCUUCCUCCGAUUGCUGGAAUGGUCUGGUGACUGUAUAUAGGGUUGCUACCGUCGCCGUGAAUGAUCACUUCCUAGUGAUUUCAUUCGAACUUUAUUGCCUGAUACAGCAUUGGUGCUAUGGCCCCAGCAGCAUGAAUCCACGGCCGUCCUAGCAGCAAGUUGUAAGAUGCUGGCACAUCUAUCACCUGGAAAUCAACAUCGAACCAGGUUGGCCCCAUUUGCAAGCAUAGACUAAUCUCCCCAAUGGUGGACCUUUGGGAACCAUCGAAAUCUUUCACAUUGAUAGCUCCAUCUUUUAUCUCAUGCAGUCCUUUACCCAACUUCUUGAGUGUUACCAGUGGACAAAUGUUAAGGCUAGAACCCCCGUCGAUCAGGAUCCUGGUGAUGAAAUAGUCCUCGCAUUGCACGGUGAUGUGCAGUGCCUUGUUGUGCCCCAGCCCCUCGAGCAGCAGCUCAUCCUCAUGAAAAGUGAUCUUAUGGCUCUCCAACACCUGUCCUACCAUGUUAGCCAUUUCUCCGCCAGUGAUGUUGCUUGGUACAUAUGCUUUACUUAGCACCCUUAGUAGAGUGUUCUUGUGUGCCUUGAAAUUUUUUAGCAAAGCAAGAAUGGAGAUUUGCGCCGGUGUUUUGUUCAACUGGUCGAUGACUGAGUAUUCCUUGGCCUGUAUCUUUCUUCAAAGAUCGUCUGGACCUGUCUCAAUGAUGGGUGACCGAUUGGAUUCCUGCUUGCUUGACUCAACUAGAUGUUCCGGGUUAUAGACUCUACCAGUUCUUGUCAUACCCUGUGCCGCAACAGUCUCUUCGAACCUAACCUUGCCUUUCCUUCUUGUCUCGACUGUAUAGUCCCAGGGUACAACCUUUGUAUGGAAUGGUUCCAUGGUCGACAUCACCACUAGGAUCGGUGUGGCUAUCCUUACUCCGAAUGGAGCAUGUGCCUUGGGUGGUAAAACUACAACUUCAAACGGCGUGGGUGCAUUUGCUGGAGACAUGAAUUCGACCUCAAUUGUCACUGGUGUCUUUGUAGAUGAUGUUGCUUCAAACUCAAGUAGCACAAACAUAUUUACCUAGGCGUCCCCAGAUGGUUGGAUCUGGACUAUGAUUUGAUUAAGAGUAACUAUUGGCUUCUUUGGGUCAUCGCCUUCUGCGAUCAACCCGAUUGAUCCCUCGGGAUCCCAGUCAACUUCUAUUUCAAUCAUGUGGAUGCCUCCACCCUUAUGAUCGGGCAGGGGAUUAUUGCGGACAUUUGGAGCGGGUUACUUUGUCACAAUAAUCUUGUUAUCAAUUAAAGUCUGGAUCUUGUCUUUCUAGGAACGACAUUUGUUGAUGGUGUGCCCUUUCAUGCCGGAGUGGUAUGCACAUGAUUUGUUUGGGUUAACCCACUGAGAAGGGUUCUCAGGAGUUGCAGUAAGGAUGGGGUUGACAUAACCAACAGCUUUGAGUCUCUCAUACAACUGGUCAAUAGGCUCAACGAUAGCUGUUUAUUGUUUUGGAGGUUUGUGAUCAAAAUUUGGUCGAGGUCUAGGGAAGUUUUGACGGGCGGGAGGUGACUGAUAGUGGGAUGGUUGAGUAUUGUAAGUUUGGUAGACAUGUGCGGGUUGGGAAUAUCUGGGCGAAGUAGGCUGAUAUAUGGGAGGUAAAGGUGAUUGACAAGUGGGUGGUGGAGCUUGAUAGGAGGGUGAUGAUGCUUGGUAGUUCAGAGUUGGUUGAUAUGUGAGUGGAGGUGUUGGGUAAGUUUGGUAUUUGAUGGAAGAUUUGGUUCUCCGUGCAACCAUUACGGCCACCACGUCCCUUUUCUUGGACACACCACCAGACUGUAAGGCCUUAUUUGUAGCUUGCAAGGCCUCGAAGUUUGUAACCAUACUGCUUUUGAUGCCCUCUUCAAUCCUUUCACCCAGCUUGAUAAUGUUGGAAAAUUUGUGGCUCUCAAUCAUCACGAGUCAUUCAUGAUACUGCGGGUCCUGAGCCCAGACAAAGAAUUUGUUCAUCUGUUCCUCUUCUAAGGCAGGUCUGACCUUAGCAUCUUCGGACCUCCAGCUAGUAGCAUACUCGCGAAAUGUUUCUGUGGGUUUUUUCUUUAGAUUCUAAAUAUAGAACACGUCCGUCGCAUUCUCUGUGUUAAACCUGAACUUGUCCAUAAAGUCGGAUGCCAUGCCUACCCAGUAUGACCACUUCUUCGGAUCUUGGCUAAUGUACCAAGACAAAGCAUCUCCUUUCAAACUCCUCAUGAACAACUUCAUGUGGAUUCUCUCGUCUUUCCCUACUCCAACCAGCUUGUCACAGUACGUUCUCAAAUGUACCCUUGGAUCCCCUGUACCAUCAAACAUCUCGAACUUAGGAGGUUUUUACCCCCCGGGCAGAUCCACAUCGAGCUGUAUGCAAAGAUCUUCAUAGUUCAGCCCCUCAAUUCCCUUGCUUCCUUCAAUGCCUUGAAUCCAGCUAGUCAAUUUCUUAAGUUCCUCAGCUAGGUUCCUAAUGAGUAAGUCUUUAUCAUCAGACUCGGGUGUGCUUGAUAUAGGUUGGGUGGUGUGUGGCAUGGUCUCCACGUAGAUGGGGGUGUUAUGGUGGGUGCAAAAGUGGUCAUUUGUGGAGUUUUGGGGUUCUGGGAUGAGUAGUGGAGUGUUGUUUGGGAGAUGGCAGGUGUUGCAGUGAUGGUGAGGAGCGGGAUGGCUCUGCGGUUUUGGGGUAUUUUGCAGAGGUGUGGGGUUCUGAGAAUUUAGGAAAUUGAUAUCUGGAGUGGUGAGGGAAAAUGACAAAUUUGCCAAGUUCCAAACCUGAUCAAGCUCUUCUUGGAAUUUCAGCAGUUUUUGUUCAAGUUGAGAUGCAUUUUCCUUAGGAACCUGAGUACCAUGACCAUUGGUGACCUCUACCCAUUCAGUUGAAUUCUCCUUUCUAACGUUGUUCAAAUUUUCCAUCUUCCCUUUGUUCUUGUUUUUGACAGGACUAAGAGGAGGGGUCGGUGGAGGGCCCUUAGAUCUCAUGGAAUAGGAUGAUGUUGCUAGAGUGCACGAACUAACCUUUGGGGAGGGGAAUAAUAAAACAAAAAGUAAAAACAAAAAGGCAACAAGUUAGUAAGGAUUAUAAUAAGUGUUGCAAUAUUUAAACACAUAGUGCGGAAUGUAAAACGUGUCCUAAUUUGGGAACCUCUUUGUGCCCAAGGAAGGCCUAGCAACAAAUUAAUUUGGAGAACUUAGAAUGCUAAAUGCCUCAUUUUAUUGAUAGAAAAUAAGAUGAAGCCAAGUUGACACUAAGUAAAUAGGAAAUGAAAAAAAAAUCACUAAUGGCCAUUGGCCUUAUUACAUUUUAAAACGAAAAGACAAACUCCUAUCUACUUGGUCCCAAAAGGACCUUCCCCAGAUUCGGCAUCUUUGGCUCCAUCAAACAGCUUCCCCAACUCGCGAAGUCCCAACAAUAGGUAAGCUCUGGCUAGAUGUCCACCUUUGUUUCCUUCAGCAUUUGGUAGUAGACCCUCUUGAGAAACUUUCUUUCCAAUUCCACUAUGCCUCGCUCCAAAUAUCCCAGUCACUUAUUGGCACUGACAGCCAUGUCCUUCCAUUCCUCAAUUAGCUUCUGGUUGGACUCUUAUGUCUCACGGUGCUCGCUUUCGUACUCUUGGAUUCUUUUGCAUAGUUGAUUGUAUUUGACCUGUGCCUCGACCCUUUCAUCUAUAAUCCUGUGACCUCGAGCAAACCCUGGCUGGCCCAGACCAUCAUGAUUGUCUUCCAACCAACCUGAGUAGAAAGGAGCGCAACCAGCAUGAUACAUGUCUGGUUCGAUGGUAUCUCUCCCCAUUAUGAUCUUGCAGUGCCACAUAUGCUGAGCUUGGCACUUGUAAGGACUAUCAUCAUUCUAGAAAUCAGCCCAGAAAUGACUCAUCUUGUCGACCCUAGGUAUAAACUGCUUCCUACCAGCCUGUCUCAUAACUCGGAGAGGGACAUAAGGGUAUGUUCCUCUCAGCCCAAUCAAUAUCAGGAAAGGUGCGUCUCGGGAUCGGGUGAUGAACUCCUCGGUCGGGAACCACUCGAACAUCCAUUGGACCUAUUCUUCAGCCAGAUUAUCAAACAAAUCAACCUAUCCUUUGGCAUCCUACGGUUGAGUGAACAUAUCGGGGACAUAAUUCAUUCGCUUCGGAUGAUGGAAAGCGAUGUGAUCAUCCCAGUCCCUUCGCUGAAUCUCUUGUCGGUAUUCGCUCCUUUGGAGAUGUUCCAUGAGCCAAAGUUGAAGUAAUAAAUUGCAGCCUUCGAAGUAUUUUGCACCUCGUUGACACUUCUUCAAGGCUCUAUAUAUGUCGGCAACGAUCAUGGGCACGAUGCUGAAUGGAUGCCCACCGAUCCUUUCCAUUAAGGUCUUAGUUACCAUAGCCAGCCUGGUGUGGAUUCUUGCUUUCUUCAUCGGAAACACGAUCAGCCCUAGGAAACAAAACAUGAAUUCGAAGACCCUUCGGUGGAUGUGCCCCAAUGAUGUGAUGGCAAACUCGUCAAGGUAGGUAUGGUAGGAUUUGUUGUGACCGUACCUUUCAUACAAAUAGUCAAAAGGGAUGUAGGACUUCUUCAGACAUGUCAAUUCUGGAUUCUUCUUUAAACCCAUCAUUUUGAGGAAGCCCCUGCCCUUGCGGUUCUCAGGCAUCAGCAAACCCGGAGUUUCCCACACUAGACCAGCUAAUCCUCCUAUCUCCUCUAGCAAGGGUGUCAUUUCAAUGUCCUAAAGCGGAACACAGCCCUUUCACAAUCCCAAAAUAGUGUGGCAGCUUCUAUGAUCUUGUUAUUGGGUUGGAUUUCUAGGAGGGAAGGCAGAUUUCCCAAAUAUUUUCGGACAAGAGUUUGAUCACUAGAGUGAAGCUCUUUCCACCAUCUUAGCAGUCUUGGGUGGAUGUUGGUGAUCAUGCCAAAUCUAGGGACUUCGUGCCUCAUAUUUCUGCAAGACAAAUAAGGUUAGGCCCUUACUCCCACUAGACUCGACUAUUUAAUACCAAAAAUUAGUAUAAAGCAUUUAGUUCUCCAAAUAAAUGCACAGAACGUGGUGAUGUCCGUUUGGGUUCAGGGAAACUCGGCGGAUUUUGGACAAGGCUAUCUUAAAAGAUCAUUAUGUAGACAACAUAACUGACCCGACUAGGUGUGACCAUGAUAUAUGCACAGUUUGAACAGAGUAAGGUUUCUAUGGGGUUUUAGACUGGUACCCUUGAGCGGACAACACUAAGGGGGAAGGCACGGAACCGUCGACUGCACCGCUGAUCGACGGGUUUUACCACAAAUAUGCCUUUCCGAAUUUAGGGGUGAUAAUAUAGGAAGAGCGCAACCACUCAUUAUAAGCAUUGCUGUGGUAUUUGUUUGGCACGAGUGGAGUAUGAUGUUGAGCAUGGUUAUGCAAUAAUUAAAAGCAUGUUGGCACGUGUUUGCACGUUAAGAAAGCAGUAAAUACAACAGUUUCAUAAUUUAAAGCAGUAAUAAAAGAAAGGAACAAAGGAGACAAGUCAGUUUUGCAGUUGGGAAGGAAAUCGAAUGCUUAAAGGAAUUAAACAAGUAAUUGCACAUAAGGAGGUACAAAUUCACAAAAACAAUCUGAAAUGGUAAAAGCCUAAAUAUCCCCAGCAGAGUUGCCAUGCUAUCACGCCCCCUUUUCCCCCUCUUAUGCAUCGGGAGAUCGGGUUUAUGACAUUUUAGGACAACUCAUUCCUUUUGGGAACUGGGUUUUGCAUUUGAAGAGUCUCCACCUAAUGAUUUAAGGUGUAUUAGGACACCUAUAAGGGUUCAAUUCUAAGUUCGUUUGAUAACCAGAGAUAGGGU